AUCACAUGUCAUGACUACACAAUCAUUGCUACAGGAGAUGCUGAAAGAUUUGAAGGAUGCUUUCUGGCCAUUUCAGCUUGAUCAUACUAAGAGUCCUUUCCUGAGAGCAGCACGAGCUGCCAACUGUUCAGAAAGUACCAAUGAUUCCGAUGAAAGUGCAUUCGAGCUUGCAUCUGUCAAGGCUGCUCUGCAUCGGCUAGAGCGUGGUGUUUGGACCAGUGUUCGUUUUGGG
RNAcentral lists this unclassified non-coding RNA (232 nucleotides) under Hevea brasiliensis (rubber tree). Lineage: Eukaryota; Viridiplantae; Streptophyta; Magnoliopsida; Malpighiales; Euphorbiaceae. The record is from RNAcentral.